GCAAACCACAAAACACAGUCCAGUGAACAAAGAGACAAAGGGAGAUCUUUCCAGAGCCUCGGCGCAACGGCCUGGAAAGAGUGAUCUCCUCGGGUCUUAAAGUGGGUACGAGGGACCCUCAGAAGGUUCUGAUCCACUGACCACAGGCUCUGAGCAGGAGUGUAGAGACAUACGUAACAGGUCUCUAAUGUAGGAGGGAGCCUGGCCAUGCAAAUCUCUAAAAGUCAACACCAGGAUUUGAAAAUGUAAAUGAAACGACACUGGGAGCCAAUGACAGGACUCUAAAAUAGGAGAAAUAUGAGUCCUUCUGUUUGAGCAAGACAGCAGCCUUGCUGCAGAAUUUUGGACCUGCUGCAGAAGGGACAGCUCCUUUUUGUUUAGACAGCAAAACUGUUGCAGUAGUCCAAAGGAGAAGAUACAAAAGCAUGAAUAAUCAACUCAAGAUCAUCUUUUGAAACAACUGAUCUGAGUUUGAAAAUCUUCCUCAACUGGUAGAAACAGUUUUUGAGUUUUUGGUUAGCUGCAUGGAAUGAUGCCCAAAUGACAUUUCUUUAUCAAAGAUAACACCUCGAUUUCUCAGGCUAGAUUUUGCAGAUGAGCUCAAAAGACCUAAAUACUGUUUAAUCCCCGGAAUAACAUCAUCGGGGCAACCACCAGCACCUCGGGUUUAUCCGAAUUUAACUGCAGGGAAUUUGCACUGAGCCAUUGUUUUAUUUUCUCAAGGUAGUUCAGUAAAGAGUCCAAUUUCUGGAUCUCAGAGGCUUUAAAUCAUGUACUUUGUUAUUUACAGAUAACCCUGAGAUCAGCUGCUGUGGGGGUGAUGUUUGCCAACCUGGACUUGAACUGGUCUAAGGCCGCAUCAGAAGCAUCAUCAUCUGAUAGAGUUUUCCAGAACCAUAUAGCGUUUGGAAAGAAUGGGUGUUUGGUCACUGUAAUAGGGUACACACAACUCUCCUAAAUUUCCUUUAGUUCUGAUGUUCAAUUUGGUGAGAUAGUACUCUACAUCAGAGAUUCUCAAACUGUGGACACUGAAGAUACUGCAUG
This is a long non-coding RNA of Thalassophryne amazonica, 1044 nucleotides long. RefSeq lists it as uncharacterized. The transcript is spliced from 3 exons. Lineage: Eukaryota; Metazoa; Chordata; Actinopteri; Batrachoidiformes; Batrachoididae. The record is from RefSeq and is a predicted model, not a curated record.